This 285-nucleotide ribosomal RNA is filed under the name uncultured bacterium. RNAcentral's name for it is "partial 16S ribosomal RNA". It matches the Rfam family "Bacterial small subunit ribosomal RNA", at positions 773 to 1060 of the family's 1533-position model. The record is from RNAcentral.
GUGGAUUAGGUACCCUGGUAGUCCACGCCGUAAACGAUGAGUGCUAGGUGUUGGGGAGGAAUCCUCGGUGCCGCAGCUAACGCAAUAAGCACUCCACCUGGGGAGUACGACCGCAAGGUUGAAACUCAAAGGAAUUGACGGGGGCCCGCACAAGCGGUGGAGCAUGUGGUUUAAUUCGAAGCAACGCGAAGAACCUUACCAAGGCUUGACAUCCCGAUGACCGCUCUAGAGAUAGAGCUUCUCUUCGGAGCAUCGGUGACAGGUGGUGCACGGCCGUCGUCAGCU